This 84-nucleotide ribosomal RNA is filed under the name Shewanella baltica. RNAcentral describes it as "partial 16S ribosomal RNA". It matches the Rfam family "Bacterial small subunit ribosomal RNA", at positions 1450 to 1533 of the family's 1533-position model. Lineage: Bacteria; Pseudomonadati; Pseudomonadota; Gammaproteobacteria; Alteromonadales; Shewanellaceae. RNAcentral also lists the same sequence under 3 other names. The record is from RNAcentral.
GCGCUCACCACUUUGUGGUUCAUGACUGGGGUGAAGUCGUAACAAGGUAGCCCUAGGGGAACCUGGGGCUGGAUCACCUCCUUA